RNAcentral lists this unclassified non-coding RNA (24 nucleotides) under synthetic construct. The record is from RNAcentral.
AUCGAGAGGAUGCAGACGUUUUUU